Molecule: long non-coding RNA, 2946 nt
Filed under: Mytilus galloprovincialis (Mediterranean mussel)
Lineage: Eukaryota; Metazoa; Mollusca; Bivalvia; Mytilida; Mytilidae
Source: RNAcentral
AGGUUAUCAAAGAUUUGUUGAUCCUAUUAGCAACAUUUAUCCAGACAGAGGGCGAACGUUUUGUGAAGAAUACUUUGAAUUUAUAAUUAAUUACCUAUCAGGAGAUUUAGUUGAUGUAUUAGAACCCUUGCAGCUUUGUGCAUAUUUAUAUAAAUAUAGAUGUAUUGAUCAAGGUGACAAAGAAGCAAUUGAAGCAAUGCAGUGCUCAAAAGGAAGAACUGCUGCGUGUCGAGAAAUGCUUCUGGCUGUGAAACGUAGGAAAGAUAAUUGGGCAUUACUUCUUUUAGAAGCGAUCAAAGAGACACAAGAAUAUGUAAAGUUAAAAAUGGACCCAUCAGCAUCUCAGGGUAAAGAAAUAGUUUUCACAAAUACUUCAUAUAUGUCAAGCUAUUUCGUUUUGAUAACUUGUAAUAUGAGCCCCGUUAGAAAACUAUGUUUUGUAAAGAACAUGUAUUAUAACUCCUAUGGACAUAUUUUGGAAGGAUAGGAAGGAUUGAGUAAUAAAUAAAAGAUAUAUGAAUGCUGUGGCUAAAUUUAUGGUAGAUAAAAAACGAAACUAUUGUUUUUUUCUAUGAUAACUUCCGGUGUACACAUUUACUAGUAUAGUUCAUUCUGUUAAUCGUAUUUCUAUGUACUAGUAAUCUUUAAUAAAUCGAAUAGUUACAACGCUCAAUGUUGAUUGUUGAAUGCUUACUUUCAUAAUAGACUGGGGCUUUUUUCUUCGAUUUUUUAUGUUUCUAAUUUUGGUGCAGAGUAUAAACAUAAGCUGUAAUAUGUAAUAAGACUUAGUAGUGAAUGUUGAUUCAGAGAUUUGUUUGAGUACACUAUUUGAAUGUUUUGCGAACGCAAUACUUAUUUGGCUGACCUUUGGUGAAUAUAUAUAUCGCAUACAACCAUGAAUAUGAAGUAAGUUUCUUUGCAGUGCUGAGUUGAAACCUGUGAGUAUUUAUUUUAUUUGUCAUACACGUACGUCCAGAGUUCAAAACAUCGAAUUCCGAAUGAGGUAAGUAUAGUACAACAACGCGUGCUAUCUUGCUAAAUCAGCAGUCACAAUAUUGCAUCGUAUUCUAACACAUGAUGUUUACAUUACAUCAUUACUAUUAUGUUUAAUUCUUUUUUAGAAAGACAUACGCUGUUAUUUUGAAAACUCAAUCACUUUGUUAAAAGUAGCAUAUGUAACUGUUCCUUCGGUACUAAAAUACUCUAGUCUGUUGUAGAAGAGUUAGAAAGAACUGAUAUAUUGCUCGCUAGCACAAAACAGCGUAAUCACAGUGAUUCGACACUUUCAGAGGGAGGUAUGUCAGAGCUAUUUAUUGCCAUUUAUGGCAUACUAUAGGGUAUGCGUUUUGCUCAUUGUAGAAGGUCGCUUAAUUUCACCUCAUGUUGGGUCUGGUGAAACCUCUCUUAGCGACAUGAAUUUCAUAUUUUCUUUUUAUCACAAUGAACUAGCAGUUUGAAAGAAAUAUAUAUAUAUCACUCAGUCCAUGGGUCAAAUACAUAUCAUUAUAAAAUUAUUGACCGUAAACUUACAGUUUGCACAUUUAUUUAUUUUGUUUCAUGGGCAUUUUAUUUAUAUCUACAUCUUACUUUGAUAAGUAGUUGACAUGCAUUUUUGGGACAGUCCAUUAAUACUUCACGACUAGAUUUUUUUUUCAUUUUGUUGUCAGUAGAAAUGAUAAGAAACAUUACAUCGGCAAUAUAACUGAAAAUGUAAUAAACAUUGAUGAAGGUCUCAAACAAUUUCCUUAAAAUCAGAUGCAUUGUGAGUCUUGCAGAUAAGUAUUUUGUUAAUGGGAUAUUAAAUUCAGCAUUUGACAUUUUUAGCCGAACAAAUUUAUCCAUUUUAUAUAAACUGCUGUUGUUUUUUGUUUGGUCGGGUUGUUGUCUCUUUGACACAUUUCCCAUUUCCAUUCUCAAUUUUAUUGCAUUUGUAAAAAUUGAACGAUAGCAGAAUAUAUUUCAAAUAAAACACAUCAAGAUUGAUAUGUUGAUGAGAUACAAAUGUGUACACAUUUGACACUAUGCAUUGUAGCUUUCACUCUUCAUUUUUUGUUAAAAAACUCUCUAUAAAAAAGAAAGCUAACAAAAAUACCAAGUCAAAUUAAAAACGGGAAGUUCCAAAUUUAAUAACAAAAUCAAAAUUUAAAUUUAAAACACAGCAAACGAAUAGAAUACAACUGUCAUAUUCCUCACUCGGUACAGGCAGUUCCUUAUGUAGAAAAUACUUAAUAUAACCUGGGUUUGUAGCUAGCUAAACUGUUCACUUGUGAGACAGUCGCUUAAAAUCGCAUUAUUCUUACAACAAAGUGUGAACAAAUCAAACAGACAUAAUAGGAAAAAUGUCAAAAAUAGUAGUAUAGCAGUCAGUAUUGUGUUAUAAUCUUAAUCGCUAUACAAACAAACAAAUAUCAAAACAGUUAUGUUACCUUUAGCUUGAUUUGUAUAUAAGUCUACAAUAUAUUUUAACUACUCGAAUAGCAUUUAUAACUUCAUACUGGUUCAAUACUAUAUGUUUAUCUUAUUUCUGUUUAAACAUUAUUACCAGACACUACAAUUAGUAUAUGUUGUACAUAGAUUUUAACCAAAAUCACCUCAAUUUACCUUAACUUAUCAGUCAAAAUAUGUUUCACGUCAUAUAAAUUAUCCAUUAAUAUUUUUGUGUUAUGUUAUCUAAAAUAUUGGUCUAUGUUUACAGAAUUAGUACCAUUCAAGUCAUCUUUUCAUUUUGAUGUUAAACUGCGAAAGAUAUUUCAAUUACAAUCAACUCCAGAUCUGGUAAUAAGUGAUUGUGUUAUUACCAAUGAGCAGUUGGUGUUUACUGGUUAUUUCAGCGAAAGAUUACAUAUCUACAAUAUUUAUGGAAGUUACAAUCGAGAACUUAAAUUGUUUAAUAGACCACAAUGUAUUACUGUAAUAAACGACGACGAUGUGGCAGUCUCAUAUUAU